This is a long non-coding RNA of Spinacia oleracea (spinach), 1255 nucleotides long. RefSeq lists it as uncharacterized. NCBI's taxonomy places the organism in Eukaryota, Viridiplantae, Streptophyta, Magnoliopsida, Caryophyllales, Amaranthaceae. The record is from RefSeq and is a predicted model, not a curated record. The transcript is spliced from 3 exons.
UAUUCGAAAACUAAAUUUAUUUUUCGUUAACGAUAUUUUUAUAAAUAAUUAUUUUAAAACUUGGUUUUAGUUAAACUUUUCUAUUCCAAUUAGUUUCCUAAAAAUAGAGAACAAUUUUCAGAAAUCUUGCCUAACUAAGUGAAAUGACCAAAAUGCCCCUAAGGAACAAAUUGGCAUCUUUCCUUCUCUUUCCUUGCUAUUCACGUACAAACAACAACAAGAAUGAAGGAAUUCCUUCAUUCCUUUCUACCCACAAUUCAGACUACAUUCAUGCCUUGAUUCCCAAGGAUUUCACUCAACUCAACACUAUAAAUAAGCCACAAAUUGUCACCAUUUUUCCAACCAAAAAUCCAAAAUCAAAAACCAAUUUCACUCUCUUUUCUUUCCUGAUUCGAAAACACCACCGUGAAAACCACCGCCUGCCACCACCAUAGCCACCACUGCCCAGCACCAUCACCCCAACCACCUAGCGUCACUCGACCACCGUUCACCACCAAGCAUCACCACCCGUAGCCUCGCCUCCCCCCCCCCCCCCUCCUUCAUCUCCCCUGCUUCUCGCCCUAACCCCGAACAAACCGCAGUCGCAUCACCCACUCACUGUCACCACCACCACCAGCCGAGUCCACCACCACCCUUGACCUCGCCGGAAAAUAUUGUAGCUUUCCCCAACCACCUACGACGCCACCCCUCAACUCCCCUGUUUUUACCCUGUUCAUGCCCAUUUCUUCCUUUCUCUCGCAGUUUUGCCGCCACCAACAACCACCACCAUCACCGUCUCACCUUCGAUGCUACGCCGAACCACCGAGCCCAUCCCAGCCGCCACUUCCGUCCUCCCUCCUCUUCGUGCUUUGCUCCUCCGUGCUCCCUCCCCCUCUGUUCGUACCUCUCAUUCCAAAAAAAAAAAAAAGGAGAGAAUCAGUUCAAUUGAAACCUGAUUCAUUUUCCUCCAACCCAAAUUUAAGUUGGGCCAACUUAACCAUUUGGGCUUUGGAAUUGGACUCGGAGCUCAGGACGAACGACCAAGGAAAAAGGCCUGUCAAAUCGUGGAAUUGAGGUACUGCUGGGGACCACGGAAACGAGUAGUGGCGAGGAUUUCACUAUUACCAAGUUCACCUAAGUUAAUGUUAAGUUGUAACAAGAUUCAGUAAAGAUUCGAGAUUAAGUUAUGUACUUUGAUUAAGGAUUUGAGAAGGAUGAUUAUGUGAAUUUUGGAGUUUAAUAGCUUAUGAUUGAUAGUUGCCUCGUAAUUCCCAAG